AAUGUCUGGCACGGACCUCUCCGUCACCCCCACACUAUUGACAGCUGCAACAACGUGUUGCCACUCUUCUGUUUUCCGUUUGUUGAUGAUUCCACUACCGAGGCCGCUAAAUAAUAUGUUUUUGCGAGCCUCCACCUCACCAACAAGUACCUCCACCUCCGUCUCCGUAAAAUUACGCUUCCUCGUCUUUUCGGUUGCCAUGAUUUAGGUUUAAAUAGCAGAGAUCAGCUGGUUCAUUUAUAUGCAGAAAUGUCCAUGAGGUGCUUUGCAUUGACCAUUUAUAGUAGAAUGUGGGCGUGUAGGGGGCGGGCUAGCAGCAGAAUUCACUUGCGCAAGCUUUCAGGCAGAGUGUGAUUUAUAAAGGGAAAAUUGCUUGCACCUGUGCGCACGCACGGUUUUAUAAAUCAGAAUAUUUUGUUGCUUACGCAAACUCUGGAUUCUUGGCGGACGUCCACUUUUAGUAGGAAUCCUACGCAGAGUUUUAUAAAUGAGCACCCAGGUGUGGAGUUACACAGA
Melanotaenia boesemani (Boeseman's rainbowfish) is the source of this 516-nucleotide long non-coding RNA. RefSeq lists it as uncharacterized. The transcript has 3 exons. Lineage: Eukaryota; Metazoa; Chordata; Actinopteri; Atheriniformes; Melanotaeniidae. The record is from RefSeq and is a predicted model, not a curated record.